Molecule: non-coding RNA, 233 nt
Organism: Pelobates cultripes (western spadefoot toad)
Lineage: Eukaryota; Metazoa; Chordata; Amphibia; Anura; Pelobatidae
Source: the annotation of a GenBank genome assembly
UUGAAAAUCAGGUUUAUUGUCAAAUUUACAGACUUUCAGAUGUUUGCAAUGAACAAAUCAAACAACAAUUGAAAUAAAUGCUUCAAGCGGUUUCCCCAAAUUCAACUGCAAAUGAAACCUAUAAUUGUUUUUCCAGUCUCAGAAUUAUUCAGUCCCCUGGAUAGAAUUCUUCAAAACAGGACAAAUAUGCAAAACGCAUUGUCUCAAGUACAUCUGAUGCAGCUAGUCAAUGG